GUGGGGAAUAUUGGACAAUGGGCGCAAGCCUGAUCCAGCCAUGCCGCGUGAGUGAUGAAGGCCUUAGGGUUGUAAAGCUCUUUUGUCCGGGAAGAUAAUGACUGUACCGGAAGAAUAAGCCCCGGCUAACUUCGUGCCAGCAGCCGCGGUAAUACGAAGGGGGCUAGCGUUGUUCGGAAUCACUGGGCGUAAAGCGCACGUAGGCGGACCAUUAAGUCAGGAGUGAAAGCCUGGAACUCAACUCCAGAACUGCCUUUGAUACUGAUCGUCUCGAGUAUGGAAGAGGUUGGUGGAACUGCGAGUGUAGAGGUGAAAUUCGUAGAUAUUCGCAAGAACACCGGUGGCGAAGGCGGCCAACUGGUCCAUUACUGACGCUGAGGUGCGAAAGCGUGGGGAGCAAACAGGAUUAGAAACCCGAGUAGUCC
Molecule: ribosomal RNA, 425 nt
Filed under: uncultured bacterium
Lineage: Bacteria
Description: partial 16S ribosomal RNA
Rfam family: Bacterial small subunit ribosomal RNA
Source: RNAcentral